UGGAAGUACGAAACGAGAACAGGGCAGGACUCCCCUUGGUUAGGAUGGAAGAAGUCCUAAUGGACUUGUAACCAUGUUUAAGACUGUCACUGACUUUGUGGCAUCUAAUGUAUAU
This 115-nucleotide non-coding RNA is filed under the name Charadrius vociferus (killdeer). Lineage: Eukaryota; Metazoa; Chordata; Aves; Charadriiformes; Charadriidae. The record is from RNAcentral.